CCCUUAGAUGUUCUGGGCCGCACGCGUGCUACACUGAAUGGAUCAGCGGGUCAGGUUGCGCGAAAGCGUUUCCUAAUCUUUAAAUCCGCUCGUGAUGGGGAUUGACGGUUGCAAUUUUCUGUCAUGAACGAGGAAUACCUUGUAAGCGCGGGUCAUCAUCCCGCGCUGAAUACGUCCCUGCCCUUUGUACACACCGCCCGUCGCUCCUACCGAUUGAGUGGUCCGGUGAGGCUUUGGGAUCUGAGCGGAAAGAGCGUUUCGCUGUUUCUGCUCGGAAAACUCAGUCGAACCUUAUCAUUUAGAGGAAGGAGAAGUCGUAACA
This 322-nucleotide ribosomal RNA is filed under the name uncultured eukaryote. RNAcentral describes it as "partial 18S ribosomal RNA". It matches the Rfam family "Eukaryotic small subunit ribosomal RNA", at positions 1470 to 1796 of the family's 1831-position model. The record is from RNAcentral.